This 76-nucleotide transfer RNA is filed under the name Candidatus Sutterella merdavium. RNAcentral's name for it is "tRNA-Glu". It matches the Rfam family "tRNA". From Rfam's summary of the family: Transfer RNA (tRNA) molecules are approximately 80 nucleotides in length. Their secondary structure includes four short double-helical elements and three loops (D, anti-codon, and T loops). The record is from RNAcentral. Lineage: Bacteria; Pseudomonadati; Pseudomonadota; Betaproteobacteria; Burkholderiales; Sutterellaceae.
GUCCCCAUCGUCUAGUGGUCUAGGACGCCGGCCUCUCACGCCGACAACACGGGUUCGAACCCCGUUGGGGACGCCA